UGGGGAAUAUUGGACAAUGGAGGAAACUCUGAUCCAGCAAUUCCGUGUGUGUGAAGAAGGUUUUAGGACUGUAAAACACUUUUAGUAGGGAAGAAAAAAAUGACGGUACCUACAGAAGAAGCAACGGCUAAAUACGUGCCAGCAGCCGCGGUAAUACGUAUGUUGCGAGCGUUAUCCGGAAUUAUUGGGCUUAAAGGGCAUCUAGGCGGUAAGACAAGUUGAAGGUGAAAACCUGUGGCUCAACCAUAGGCUUGCCUACAAAACUGUUGAACUAGAGUACUGGAAAGGUGGGUGGAACUACACGAGUAGAGGUGAAAUUCGUAGAUAUGUGUAGGAAUGCCGAUGAUGAAGAUAACUCACUGGACAGAAACUGACGCUGAAGUGCGAAAGCUAGGGGAGCAAACAGG
Molecule: ribosomal RNA, 407 nt
Filed under: Verrucomicrobiota bacterium
Lineage: Bacteria; Pseudomonadati; Verrucomicrobiota
Description: Verrucomicrobia bacterium partial 16S ribosomal RNA
Rfam family: Bacterial small subunit ribosomal RNA
Source: RNAcentral